UACGUAGGUGGCAAGCGUUGUCCGGAAUUAUUGGGCGUAAAGCGCGCGCAGGCGGCUAUGUAAGUCUGAUGUUAAAGCCCGAGGCUCAACCUCGGUUCGCAUUGGAAACUGUGUAGCUUGAGUGCAGAAGAGGAAAGCGGUAUUCCACGUGUAGCGGUGAAAUGCGUAGAGAUGUGGAGGAACACCAGUGGCGAAGGCGGCUUUCUGGUCUGUAACUGACGCUGAGGCGCGAAAGCGUGGGGAGCAAACGGG
This 252-nucleotide ribosomal RNA is filed under the name uncultured bacterium. RNAcentral describes it as "partial 16S ribosomal RNA". It matches the Rfam family "Bacterial small subunit ribosomal RNA", at positions 524 to 776 of the family's 1533-position model. The record is from RNAcentral.